AUACGUAGGUGGCAAGCGUUGUCCGGAUUUACUGGGUGUAAAGGGCGCGUAGGCGGGCAGGCAAGUCAGAUGUGAAAUCUCCGGGCUCAACCCGGAAAUUGCAUUUGAAACUGCAGGUCUUGAGUAUCGGAGAGGCAAGCGGAAUUCCUAGUGUAGCGGUGAAAUGCGUAAAUAUUAGGAGGAACACCAGUGGCGAGGGCGGCUUGCGGGACGACAACUGACGCUGAGGCGCGAAAGCGUGGGGAGCAAACAGGAUUAGAUACCCCGGUAGUCCCCGCCCUAAACGAUGAAUACUAGGGGUGGGGGGACUGACCCCUUCCGUGCCGGAGUAAACACAAUAAGUAUUCCACCUGGGGAGUACGACCGCAAGGUUGAAACUCAAAGGAAUUGACGGGG
RNAcentral lists this ribosomal RNA (396 nucleotides) under uncultured bacterium. RNAcentral's name for it is "partial 16S ribosomal RNA". It matches the Rfam family "Bacterial small subunit ribosomal RNA", at positions 523 to 918 of the family's 1533-position model. The record is from RNAcentral.